Molecule: long non-coding RNA, 806 nt
Organism: Saccoglossus kowalevskii
Lineage: Eukaryota; Metazoa; Hemichordata; Enteropneusta; Harrimaniidae
Source: RefSeq, a predicted model, not a curated record
CUUGCUGGCUGUAGUCACAGAUUGAAAUCGUUGAUUUAGUGCGAGAAUUUUAUACUGUUUUUAUUACAAGAUGUCUACCAAGGUGUUCCUCGUACUGGCCAUGGUUGCUCUGCUUGUCAUAGGGUAUACUGAAGCUCAGACGACAAUGGCGCCGACAGCAGAGGAUGACACGGCAACGAUGGAAACGUCCACUUCUGGAACCGUAUCCUUGUCUGUAUCCAUAGUGAUGUUGAUUUCAGUUGGAGCUGUUUCUCUCAUCAGAUAAUACCACAUCUGACAAUGUCUUCCAUUAGGCAGAUAAGAGCUCAGUCGUCCAAUCUAUCUCGCCGUUGCCAUGGCAAGCAGUAUUUCAAUUGCCCGUCAUUCAUUGUUUUAUUGUAGUCUGUUGAUGGGCCAAAGAUUUGAUCUGGGACGUCGUGUGUCGCAUGAAUGGUUAUUAGUGCACCAAUCUUCAUCAUCUGUGAUUAUUUAGUAAUUGUUAUUAAUUAUAACUAUCGGUAAGACGUGUGACGAUGAACGCUGUUGGAAUAAACUCCCUUGUGAUUCUACUGUUUUUUCUGGUAGAUGAUUUUAACUCUUUUAGAAGUGAACCGUAAAUACCGAUGUUAACACUGAGGGCGCCAUCUAAAUUGAACAACGUAUUAAAUCUCGACUGGAGAAAAGAUCCGCCCCUUGUCACGCGGUAAUGUUGGUGUACUUUAUAUACCUUUGUUGGUAUGAGAGCCAAAUGUAGUUUGUUGUAUGAUAACAGCUAUUAGUUUCACUUGUAUUACUGAGUAAAAAUAAAUAAUAAAAAAAAAACAGAA